RNAcentral lists this ribosomal RNA (497 nucleotides) under uncultured bacterium. Its description in RNAcentral is "partial 16S ribosomal RNA". It matches the Rfam family "Bacterial small subunit ribosomal RNA", at positions 28 to 507 of the family's 1533-position model. The record is from RNAcentral.
GAUGAACGCUGGCGGCGUGCCUAAUACAUGCAAGUCGAGCGAACGGACGAGAAGCUUGCUUCUCUGAUGUUAGCGGCGGACGGGUGAGUAACACGUGGAUAACCUACCUAUAAGACUGGGAUAACUUCGGGAAACCGGAGCUAAUACCGGAUGAUAUUUUGAACCGCAUGGUUCAAAAGUGAAAGACGGUGUUGCUGUCACUUAUAGAUGGAUCCGCGCUGCAUUAGCUAGUUGGUAAGGUAACGGCUUACCAAGGCAACGAUGCAUAGCCGACCUGAGAGGGUGAUCGGCCACACUGGAACUGAGACACGGUCCAGACUCCUACGGGAGGCAGCAGUAGGGAAUCUUCCGCAAUGGGCGAAAGCCUGACGGAGCAGCGCCGCGUGAGUGAUGAAGGUCUUCGGAUCGUAAAACUCUGUUAUUAGGGAAGAACAUAUGUGUAAGUAACUGUGCACAUCUUGACGGUACCUAAUCAGAAAGCCACGGCUAACUACGUG